AAGGAGGGCACUUUUUGGGAUGCGCCCUGAGUGUUAUAUGUAAGUGAUGAAUCACUGGGUUCUACUCCUGAAGCCAAGACUACACUGUAUGUCAACUAACUUGAAUUUUAAUUUAUUAAUCACAGGGUUCAAGUCCUAGAUGGAGUGAUAGCAGGUAUCUCAAUUACAACUUUGAAUUGUUUUCCACCACUGAACAUUCUAAGAGUUUUUUGAGACACAUAGUGACUACAACAUCAUAAAACUCCAAGGAAGUAGUUUUCUUUCUGUCCCUACUCUCACUUUGUAUUUCUUGACUUUUAUUUUGGGUAUUCUUCAAGAAAUGUACCCAGUCUCCUUUUGUCUCCAGCCUACUGUGUUACCACAUAGCUUCCAAAAGUGGGUGAUAAAGGUCAUGAACUUGAAGUUCAUGAGUUGGAGUGCCACGUUGGGCUGACAGCAUGGAGCCUGCUUGGGAUUUUCUCUCUCUCUCUCUCUCUCUCUCUCUCUCUGCCCCUCCCUUGCUCACAUUCUCUCUCACUCUCUUUCUCUCUCCCCUCAAAAUAAAUAAAGUGUAUAAAAAGAAUAAAUACUUCGCAGUAAUGAA
Long non-coding RNA from Neofelis nebulosa (Clouded leopard), 583 nucleotides. RefSeq lists it as uncharacterized. The transcript is spliced from 2 exons. Lineage: Eukaryota; Metazoa; Chordata; Mammalia; Carnivora; Felidae. The record is from RefSeq and is a predicted model, not a curated record.